AGAUUUGAUCCUGGCUCAGGAUGAACGCUAGCGGCAGGCUUAACACAUGCAAGUCGAGGGGCAGCGUGGAGUAGCAAUACUCUGACGGCGACCGGCGAAAGGGUGAGUAACGCGUGAGCAACACGCCCGGUAGUGAGAAUAGUCGAUGGAAACGUCGCGUAAUACUCCGUAACACAGAGGACCGCAUGAUCUUCUGUUUAAUAGAUUUUAUCGCUACCGGAUUUGGCUCGCGUACCAUUAGCUAGUUGGCGGGGUAACGGCCCACCAAGGCGACGAUGGUUAGGGGUUCUGAGAGGAAGGUCCCCCACAUUUGGAACUGAGACACGGUCCAGACUCCUACGGGAGGCAGCAGUGAGGAAUAUUGGACAAUGGCCGAAGAGGCUGAUCCAGCCAUGCCGCGUGGCGGGAAGACGGCCCUAUGGGUUAGUAAACCGCUUUUGUUGGGGAGCAAUAAGGUCCACGUGUGGAUCGAUGAGAGUACCCAGCGAAUAAGCAUCGGCUAACUCCGUGCCAGCCGCCGC
This 521-nucleotide ribosomal RNA is filed under the name uncultured bacterium. RNAcentral's name for it is "bacterial SSU rRNA". It matches the Rfam family "Bacterial small subunit ribosomal RNA", at positions 9 to 518 of the family's 1533-position model. The record is from RNAcentral.